GGGGUUGCGGCUCAGUGGUAGAGCACUUGCCUCGCAUGCAUGAGGCACUGGGUUCAAUUCUUAGCACCA
This 69-nucleotide transfer RNA is filed under the name Ictidomys tridecemlineatus (thirteen-lined ground squirrel). RNAcentral's name for it is "Spermophilus tridecemlineatus (thirteen-lined ground squirrel) tRNA". It matches the Rfam family "tRNA". From Rfam's summary of the family: Transfer RNA (tRNA) molecules are approximately 80 nucleotides in length. The record is from Rfam by way of RNAcentral. Lineage: Eukaryota; Metazoa; Chordata; Mammalia; Rodentia; Sciuridae.